AUUGAACGCUGGCGGCGUGCCUAACACAUGCAAGUCGAACGCGAAAGGGACUUCGGUCCUGAGUAAAGUGGCGCACGGGUGAGUAACGCGUGGAUAAUCUGCCUUUGGGUGUGGGAUAACGGCUGGAAACGGUCGCUAAUACUGCAUAUUCAUCUAGUUUUACUAUUGGAUGUAAAGAUGGCCUCUGCAUAUGCUAUCGCCCAUUGAUGAGUCCGCGUCACAUUAGCUAGUUGGUGGGGUAAUAGCCUACCAAGGCAACGAUGGGUAGCCGGUCUGAGAGGACGACCGGCCACACUGGAACUGAAACACGGUCCAGACUCCUACGGGAGGCAGCAGUGGGGAAUAUUGCGCAAUGGGCGGAAGCCUGACGCAGCGACGCCGCGUGAGGGAUGAAGGUCUUCGGAUCGUAAACCUCUGUCAGAAGGGAAGAAGUUACAUGGUGCUAAUCAGCUAUGUAUUGACGGUACCUUCAAAGGAAGCACCGGCUAACUCCGUGCCAGCCGCCGCAGUAA
This 512-nucleotide ribosomal RNA is filed under the name uncultured bacterium. RNAcentral's name for it is "partial 16S ribosomal RNA". It matches the Rfam family "Bacterial small subunit ribosomal RNA", at positions 30 to 523 of the family's 1533-position model. The record is from RNAcentral.